AGAUUGAACGCUGGCGGCAGGCCUAACACAUGCAAGUCGAGCGGCAGCACGGGUACUUGUACCUGGUGGCGAGCGGCGGACGGGUGAGUAAUGCCUAGGAAUCUGCCUGGUAGUGGGGGAUAACGCUCGGAAACGGACGCUAAUACCGCAUACGUCCUACGGAUGAAAGCAGGGGAUCGGCAAGACCUUGCGCGAAUGGAGCGGCCGAUGGCAGAUUAGGGUAGUUGGUAGACGGUAAAGGCUACACCAAGCCUUCGAUCUGUAGCUGGUCUGAGAGGACCGACAGCCACACUGGGACUGGAAGACCGACCGGGCCAAGUACUCCCGUAAGGGAGCAGCUAGGUGGGAAUUUUGGACAAGUGGG
RNAcentral lists this ribosomal RNA (364 nucleotides) under uncultured soil bacterium. Its description in RNAcentral is "bacterial SSU rRNA". It matches the Rfam family "Bacterial small subunit ribosomal RNA", at positions 26 to 376 of the family's 1533-position model. The record is from RNAcentral.